This is a long non-coding RNA of Acanthopagrus latus (yellowfin seabream), 2025 nucleotides long. RefSeq lists it as uncharacterized. The record is from RefSeq and is a predicted model, not a curated record. The transcript is spliced from 5 exons. NCBI's taxonomy places the organism in Eukaryota, Metazoa, Chordata, Actinopteri, Spariformes, Sparidae.
GGAGGGGGCUCUCUGCGGGACGACACCAAGGCGGUCGAGUAGGACUUCUGGGCCCGGAGCCUCUCCUCUGCCUCCAGCUGGUCCUGAGACAGCUGGGUCGGCGCCGGUAAAAAGCUGGACAAACACACAAAGCACAGAGUGAUGGAUCUCAUUGAGGAGGAACAGCCGAGGAGUCUGGUGAUGGCAAACAGAGCGACAGGAGUGCAAGUAAGAAACAGGCAGUCAAGCCGAAGCAGUAUCGCAGACACCGAGCUUAAAAGUCUGAUGUCACACCGGUCAAUGCCGAGCCCCCGAGUCUCCUCUGCUGGUAUCUACAAGCAACACGCUCCGUCUAAGAGUCGCUUUAGGCGAUGAUCGCGCUGCUGAGUGCUGGAGUGCCGUUAAUUUGUCUUCUAUGAUUAAAGAGCAGCCUGGCCAACCAUGCAGGGAAUGAAAGAAUGGGAACACAGGAACCAAACGGCUGUAGUCGUCAAGGUGAAGCUUCCUCAGGACUUCCUGCUGCACCGUCAAGCUCCAAAGACGUCGGUGAAAUAGCGAGACGUGGGUCAAAUCCCAACGCACCCCCUGCCCCGGACCACUUAGCCUGAUUCUUGUUGGGCAAAGAAAAGUUAAGGUGAAGUGUUAGCGCUACAUGGCAUUUCAGGAGGAAUCUUUGUCGUUUCACUGUAUUUGGUGCCCUUCUUUGUAACAAACACAAAGCGAUGGCUGCUAGUUGGCUGAUUUUUCCUGUCCUGCAUUUUGUCCAGCUGCUGCACUCAGGUUAGGGCCACUGGCUGCUAAUGCUAGCACUUAAAGCACCAAAAAAUGGAUAUCAGGACUUUCUCUUCCCCGCACUUGUCAUUAUGUUCAGUCUUAUUAGCAGUUUGUGGCAUUAGAACUGAGUUGGAGUUAAUUUGUCUGCUUAUCAAUGCAGAUAAAUCAUUUCAUUUAGCUCGUUUUGCUUCCCACACGGACUCUUCUGCAUGCAGCCUGUUUUGGUUUUUGCGAAAAAAGCGUCCCAUACACGAGGUACCAAGGCAGGCAGGCAGGCAGGCAGGCAGGAGAACAAAAAAGCAAGCUGUAAUGAUCUGAACCUGAUGUCAUAUUACAGCAGACAUCAAAAAGCAGAGCAAAACUAAAUAAACCAGUACAAAGCGCGGAGAGACGAGGAACAAAAGGCAGCUACAGAACUAAAACACAGCGAGCAAAAUGCAGGAGUGGGAAACUGAAGUCGGAACAGGACUGACGUGAGAAAAACAGACACACUGACAAAGAGAGACGCAAAGACACAAAGUUAAAUACACAACGGAGACAGAAGACUAAGAAGGGACAGCUGGAACUAACAGGGAAAUCAAGACGGAGUGACGUGAGGAUGACUCUGACAAAAUGAAACUGAAACCUGAGACUGCGACCCAGCUCAAACCCACCGGUAACAUAACUGGCCGUUACUACUCAGACCGCAAACACACUACAAAUGGAAACCAGGACAGUUAUACAAAGAUUCUGCAUCCAUAAGCAGAUAUCUGUUCAGAGAGAUUAGGGGCGCUGUGACUACGUAAUGUGCUUACGCACAGCGGAGCUUUGAGCUAAAUACUAAUGUCAGCCUGCUAACGGUUAUGUGUGUAGAGUAUGUAGUGACGCUCUAACCUCCGUAACCAGCAGCUAUAAAUCAAGUCUGAAGAGUCGCUGUGUGUCGGAGCUCCUUCGGUCCUGCGGUGACGCUUUCAGUUUGUUCUUGCGGAGCUUUUUUAAAUCCUUCAAUCUGUGAUAUCAUCCACGUGCAAAGAUGUCGCUCAUGCAAACAAUCUGCUGUUGAAACAUGAUUUUUUUUCUGUCACCUUGUCAUUGUAACCACAGUGCUCAUUAGAUCUGACUCCGUAUUUCACAGCCAGCGCGGCGCCACAGAGGGCGUCUGGUGGCAUCCUGUUUACACAUGUGUUGUUUGGUUUCAACGAGGGUCUAAUGAUGAGUGAACUUUUAUUUUUCUCCCUCCCAACCCCCAAAGUAAACUGAAUGAGAAUAAACUGUCAGUGAGCUUUGCCAAAA